This 240-nucleotide unclassified non-coding RNA is filed under the name soil metagenome. RNAcentral describes it as "partial contains 5.8S ribosomal RNA, internal transcribed spacer 2, and large subunit ribosomal RNA". The record is from RNAcentral.
AACCUUAUGGACCUGCGGGCGUAUACCUGCGGAAGGAUCAUUAAUGGGUAGGCUUUGGCCAUAAUCCCUCACCAUUGUGAACGAAGCUUUAGUAGCAGUUGCUUCGGCGGGUGAUAAUACCAUGCCCCUUUCGGGGUACCCGCCGGAGGCAAGUAAAUUCUUGUUAUUUAUUGUUAUCUCUGAGUAAACUUUAAAUAAGUCAAAACUUUUAGCAACGGAUCUCAGAUCGGAAGAGCACAC